Molecule: transfer RNA, 76 nt
Filed under: Bacillota bacterium
Lineage: Bacteria; Bacillati; Bacillota
Also listed under: 1 other name
Description: tRNA-Lys
Rfam family: tRNA
About the family: Transfer RNA (tRNA) molecules are approximately 80 nucleotides in length. Their secondary structure includes four short double-helical elements and three loops (D, anti-codon, and T loops). Further hydrogen bonds mediate the characteristic L-shaped molecular structure. tRNAs have two regions of fundamental functional importance: the anti-codon, which is responsible for specific mRNA codon recognition, and the 3' end, to which the tRNAs corresponding amino acid is attached (by aminoacyl-tRNA synthetases). tRNAs cope with the degeneracy of the genetic code in two manners: having more than one tRNA (with a specific anti-codon) for a particular amino acid; and 'wobble' base-pairing, i.e. permitting non-standard base-pairing at the 3rd anti-codon position.
Source: RNAcentral
GAUCCCCUAGCUCAGUUGGUAGAGCAUCUGACUCUUAAUCAGAGGGUCUAGGGUUCGAAUCCCUAGGGGAUCACCA